Patagioenas fasciata monilis is the source of this 135-nucleotide small nucleolar RNA. It matches the Rfam family "Small nucleolar RNA SNORA33". Rfam says of the family: ACA33 is a member of the H/ACA class of snoRNA that guide the sites of modification of uridines to pseudouridines. Lineage: Eukaryota; Metazoa; Chordata; Aves; Columbiformes; Columbidae. The record is from Rfam.
AUGCCAGUUCAAUGUAUCUGCUCAAUUUGAAAAUGUUUUGCAGAGCACAUUUUGAAAUGACACUGGUAAAGUAAAGCCACCGUACGAGCCUUGAAGACUUUGUUGUCUUUGAGGUCCCAAGAGAUGGCUACAUCU